Molecule: long non-coding RNA, 393 nt
Organism: Sinocyclocheilus rhinocerous
Lineage: Eukaryota; Metazoa; Chordata; Actinopteri; Cypriniformes; Cyprinidae
Exons: 2
Source: RefSeq, a predicted model, not a curated record
ACUUUAAUGACUGAAGCAGCUUAGCAUUUCUAGUACACGUAAACACUUAAAUAGCACAUUACCUCAGUGAACAUGGUAAGCGAUAACAUAUUAUUUCAGUCCAUAAUUGCAAUAAAAGGCAUGCUAGGUGUCAAAGCCUUUAAUAUAUCGUAGACAAGACACCACAGGUGAGUAAGGUACACAUUUAAACUAAUAGAUAUCACCAUACUUCCCUAGUUGUUUAAUUACAGUAGACAAUUUCUGAAAUGUCAUGUCUAAAUAUGCAAAUCAAACAUUAUCUAAUUAAAUACGCAUAUAUUUGCAUAAAUGUACAUAACAGAAAACAAUAAAGUCUUAAAUGUGUAUUUUUGAUAUUUUCUUUGCACUACUCUGAAAGAAAACAUGUUAUGGAAA